This 84-nucleotide transfer RNA is filed under the name Marsupiomonas sp. NIES 1824. RNAcentral describes it as "tRNA-Leu". It matches the Rfam family "tRNA". From Rfam's summary of the family: Transfer RNA (tRNA) molecules are approximately 80 nucleotides in length. Their secondary structure includes four short double-helical elements and three loops (D, anti-codon, and T loops). Further hydrogen bonds mediate the characteristic L-shaped molecular structure. tRNAs have two regions of fundamental functional importance: the anti-codon, which is responsible for specific mRNA codon recognition, and the 3' end, to which the tRNAs corresponding amino acid is attached (by aminoacyl-tRNA synthetases). tRNAs cope with the degeneracy of the genetic code in two manners: having more than one tRNA (with a specific anti-codon) for a particular amino acid; and 'wobble' base-pairing, i.e. permitting non-standard base-pairing at the 3rd anti-codon position. The record is from RNAcentral. Lineage: Eukaryota; Viridiplantae; Chlorophyta; Pedinophyceae; Marsupiomonadales; Marsupiomonadaceae.
AUGAAUGUGGCGGAAUCGGUAGACGCGUUAGAUUUAGGUUCUAAACCUUUUUUAAGGGUGUGGGUUCAAGUCCCACCAUUCAUA